GACGAACGCUGGCGGCGUGCUUAACACAUGCAAGUCGAGCGGUAAGGCCCCUUUUGGGGGGUACACGAGCGGCGAACGGGUGAGUAACACGUGGGUGACCUGCCUUCAGCUCUGGGAUAAGCCUGGGAAACUGGGUCUAAUACCGGAUAUGACCUUUGCCUGCAUGGGUGGGGGUGGAAAGAUUUGUUUUGGCUGGGGAUGGGCCUGCGGUCUAUCAGCUUGUUGGGUGGGGUGAUGGCCUACCAAGGCGACGACGGGUAGCCGGCCUGAGAGGGCGACCGGCCACACUGGGACUGAGACACGGCCCAGACUCCUACGGGAGGCAGCAGUGGGGAAUCUUGCGCAAUGGGCGAAAGCCUGACGCAGCGACGCCGCGUGAGGGAUGACGGCCUCGG
Molecule: ribosomal RNA, 395 nt
Filed under: uncultured bacterium
Lineage: Bacteria
Description: bacterial SSU rRNA
Rfam family: Bacterial small subunit ribosomal RNA
Source: RNAcentral